UACGUAGGGCGCAAGCGUUGUCCGGAAUCAUUGGGCGUAAAGAGCGUGUAGGCGGCUCGAUAAGUCUGCUGUGAAAGUCCAGGGCUCAACCCUGGAAGGCCGGUGGAAACUGUCGGGCUAGAGUCCGGAAGAGGCGAGUGGAAUUCCCGGUGUAGCGGUGAAAUGCGCAGAUAUCGGGAGGAACACCAAUGGCGAAGGCAGCUCGCUGGGACGGUACUGACGCUGAGACGCGAAAGCGUGGGGAGCAAACAGG
Molecule: ribosomal RNA, 253 nt
Filed under: uncultured bacterium
Lineage: Bacteria
Description: partial 16S ribosomal RNA
Rfam family: Bacterial small subunit ribosomal RNA
Source: RNAcentral